AUUUUAAUCUCCCUGUCCUUGCUGUUUUUGAAUGUUAGUCAUGUUUUGGCUUCUCUCCGUCUUCAGUGGUGUGUAUGUUAGCCAGCAAUAGAACAUGUAAGGCCUUGAACAAUACAAAGUUGAGUGAUUGUCUGUAUAUAUAUGUAGACAUACAAUGUAUAUAGACAUCCAGAGACUUAGUCGCCUGUACUCACUUGAAUGCCUCGUUCCUCAAUAGUUGCUGAAUAUGCUGAUCCCCAUUGUUCUUCAUCUGAUUAAUUUUUUAUGCUGUUUUGAAAUUGAGGAUGCUCUUUUGUCACUGACAAUUCAUAUUUUUUAGACAGCUCUUCAGUAACCAUUUUCUUCUUGGCCACUUCAUGUUUAAAAAAAAAAAAAAUCGCCAUGACAGACUAUGUUUGCUGAAAUUUCACAAAACAUUGUUUUACAAAAGGAACACGUUUAAGAAAAAUAUGCUCAAUCCCGAAGUGAAACAAACCACGAGAAUGGACCUAGUCAUUGUUGAUCAGUUCAAAACUAUAGCUCCAUCAAGAUGUAGAUCCCCAAGGGUUCUCGCUAUUAUACAUAACAAAAUCACACUGUAAAGCAACUUCUUUAUAAUAUUUUACUUGAGGUACUGUAGAUUUGCAGGUUUUUUACUUGAGUGACACUUCAGCUAUUCAUAUAGGCAUUUCAAAACUGAUAGAUAAAUUGAGCUUGUAUAAGCUAAAAGGAGAAUCAGAGAAUGUGAUUAAUUAAUUGUAUACUCCCAACAAAAGCGUGAAAAAAAAACUUCCAGGGGCAACGGUGGGAAUGGAACCCGCAACCGUGGGGUCCACUGCUGAAAGUCUUAACACACUGAUAACUGGGCUACUGCGGUUGCCUUGGAUAUUAUUUCAUGUAAGGAAAAUUCAAUGAAAAACAAACUAA
Molecule: long non-coding RNA, 906 nt
Organism: Cimex lectularius (bed bug)
Lineage: Eukaryota; Metazoa; Arthropoda; Insecta; Hemiptera; Cimicidae
Exons: 3
Source: RefSeq, a predicted model, not a curated record